Molecule: ribosomal RNA, 253 nt
Filed under: uncultured bacterium
Lineage: Bacteria
Description: partial 16S ribosomal RNA
Rfam family: Bacterial small subunit ribosomal RNA
Source: RNAcentral
UACGUAGGGCGCGAGCGUUGUCCGGAAUUAUUGGGCGUAAAGAGCUCGUAGGCGGCUUGUCACGUCGGGUGUGAAAGACCGGGGCUUAACUCCGGUUCUGCAUUCGAUACGGGCUAGCUAGAGUGUGGUAGGGGAGAUCGGAAUUCCUGGUGUAGCGGUGAAAUGCGCAGAUAUCAGGAGGAACACCAACGGCGAAGGCAGCACUCUGGGCCGGUACUGACGCUGAGGAGCGAAAGCGUGGGGAGCAAACAGG